Long non-coding RNA from Ctenopharyngodon idella (grass carp), 2330 nucleotides. RefSeq lists it as uncharacterized. The record is from RefSeq and is a predicted model, not a curated record. The transcript is spliced from 3 exons. NCBI's taxonomy places the organism in Eukaryota, Metazoa, Chordata, Actinopteri, Cypriniformes, Xenocyprididae.
GUCACCAAAACUGCUUGAUUACCAAAAUAUUCUUCAAAAUGCCUUUCAACAGAAGAAAAUAUACAAGUUUGGAACAACGUGAAAAUGUGUAAAUAAUGACACACUUUUUAUUUUUGGGUGAACUGUACGUGUAAAGUGUACCAGUUGCUGUUGGUAGCCUGUAUUUGCUGGACCGACUUUCAAAAUACACCGUGUGUGAAAGUUUGAGGCUAUCAUUCUGAAUAAGACAAACAGAAAAACUAAGCAUCCUCCACUUAAGGCCUCUGGCUCGAUGCGUUGGAAGGGGAUGUUUUUUUUCUUUCGGGGUUUCGUUUGUGUCCUCCUCCGCCUUUUUUGCAGUUAUAAAAGCGAGGAGUUUCUAAUCAGGGCAGUUAAACUCACUUCGUCCGUCACUCAGUAUGGACUCAAAGGAUGCUCGAGAGAGUUUAGAGAGCGGCGGCGGCGGCGCGCGCUGUCGCUGUAGCAACGGGAGGAGGAACGUGGCAGCGGUGUUGGCCAUCCACAGUUUAUUAAUAGCCGUUUGUGCUGCCCUCAGCCUCAACAUCUAUCUCAGAGCGCAGCCUGGAUCCAGUAAACAGCAUCAGUUUUCACAGGACAAAGGGAUAUUCAUGCAAAUGAUAGAUGUUGAUUUAGAUGAGCUCAAAUUCCUGGUCACCUGGAACCAGACAGUGGAUCUGAUCAAUGAGAAGAGGCUGAAGCUGACCUGUGCAGGACCCUACAUGGUCUAUCUGUGGGCUUGUAUGAAAAACACCAACAAUGAUGUGGUUGUCAACGUGACAAUGGAACAGGGGACUAAAUCGUUCCACCUGCAGACCCUGCGGGACACCGAGUGCAAGGAAAUACAGGAAGUGAUCAUGCUGUCUGAAAAAGACGAAGUCACGGUGAAAGCCAAAGGCGCCAUCCACAUUGAUAAACUCUUCUUAGGCCUCCACUGCAUGCUGGGAGCCCAGUGCUUUCCUCAUCCAAUUGAUUAUGAACACUUGAAGUAGCUUGGAUAUAAAAAAUUUUAGGUGCUCGUCCUUCAGAAGAGCCGUUUAAGUGAUAAAACUAUGGCAUGACCCUCAGUCUUGAAUUACCACGAAGAAAUCUCUCGUUUUCACCCAGUUUGAAAUAUUACGACGAUGCCAUUGUCAAACUUGCCCUGGAUCAAAAGUGUAAUCGUGAAGCUAAAAUUUAGAGAGCUGCGAAUACGUUUUUCCAUAGAGGAAGCGUCUCUGUUAUUUUUCCACACUAUAUUAAAGCUUCCUGGCUCUUCAAGACAGACUAUUUGUGAAACACCUACAGCAAGUGGAAGUGGGCGACGACGUGAUAUUAACCGUAAAGGCACUAUGUCAGCUCAAACAGAGCGUACCUCACCACAGUCUGGAUUAGUGGCGGUUCCAUAAGCUCUUUGAAUGUAUCGAUACUCUGUGGUUGGAAAGAGAAAGGAAGGCCUUUAACUGAAGUGAAACCAGCUGCAGAUCAUUUUGAAGCUAUACUUCUGAUCAGUGUACAUACUACUGUAGUUUGAGAAGGAGUAAUUAGAACGUCCUCAGAUAUUGUCCUGAUUCAGCUUUCAAAUACUGACAAAGCAAUAAUGUUCUCACUGUUUGUCAUUAUCAUUAUAUUUAUAUAAAACCUGGAAGAAAAGCCCCAAAUAUGAAAGGAAAUAUCAAAGGGUAACAUUUAUGUUGCAGUUUCCGCUUUGGAAAAGACAUUGAAAAUUUGUUUGGGUAGUAGUUGUGUUUGAAAUACAGAAUUGAAUGUUGUUUUUGUGAUGUUUAAUUAUGUAAAACAGUUUAAUUAUAUAAACUGUAUGUGAUUGAAUGUUUGAUGCUUUAUUUAAAUCAGAGUCAUUGGAUAAUGUAAGGAUUGAAUUCACACUGUAGUGCACUUUUCCUUUAAGAGCACAUGUCGGUAAAUGUAUUUAUUGAAAUGAAAGUUUUUUUUAUUAUUAUUAUUUAAUCAAACCACUUUUAUAGUGAUGGUGAGCUAAAGCACUAAAAACCUCAAAAGCAAAACCAAACAAUCAUCCACAUCUCAUUCAUUCACUCAUCUCAUGACCAAAUUCAUUUAAAUUCAGUCUUAAUGACAUUUUCCACAGUUUUUAGUUUGUUUUAUUGUCUGUGCAAUGUGUUUGUGUUCAUAAAACAUGAUCCACAAUGUCUAACUUGCUCAGUCAAACCCCUGCUGCAAUUUCUGUAGUGAUCCUUUAUUUAUACAGCAAGGUUUGCACUCCUAUCUAUAUAUAUAUAUCUAUAUAUAUAUAUCUAUAUAUAUAUAUAUAUAUAUAUAUAUAUAUAUAUAUAUAUAUAAUUAUACACCAUCAAUAAAAAUGCGAUAUGCUGAAA